GGCCAGGUAGCUCAGUUGGUAGAGCACCGCUCUGAAAAAGCGGGUGUCGUCAGUUCGAUCCUGACCCUGGCCACCA
Molecule: transfer RNA, 76 nt
Filed under: Elusimicrobiota bacterium
Lineage: Bacteria; Pseudomonadati; Elusimicrobiota
Description: Elusimicrobia bacterium (groundwater metagenome) tRNA-Phe
Rfam family: tRNA
About the family: Transfer RNA (tRNA) molecules are approximately 80 nucleotides in length.
Source: RNAcentral